This 278-nucleotide unclassified non-coding RNA is filed under the name uncultured fungus. RNAcentral's name for it is "partial contains small subunit ribosomal RNA, internal transcribed spacer 1, and 5.8S ribosomal RNA". The stretch from base 1 to 73 matches the Rfam family "Eukaryotic small subunit ribosomal RNA", at positions 1759 to 1831 of the family's 1831-position model. Lineage: Eukaryota; Fungi. The record is from RNAcentral.
GCAAACUUGGUCAUUUAGAGGAAGUAAAAGUCGUAACAAGGUUUCCGUAGGUGAACCUGCGGAAGGAUCAUUACCGAGUGUCGGGCCCUCCCGGGGUCCACCCUCCCCACCCGUGUCUACCGUCCCUUGUUGCUUCAGCGGGCCUGCCCCCGGGCUCCGCGCCCGCUGGAGACGUCCAUGCGAACACUGUGUGAAGGUUGCCGUCUGAGUGGAUUUGUCCAAUCGUUAAAACUUUCAACAACGGAUCUCUUGGUUCCGGCAUCGAUGAAGAACGCAGC